RNAcentral lists this long non-coding RNA (2146 nucleotides) under Homo sapiens (human). RNAcentral describes it as "HSALNT0378702". Lineage: Eukaryota; Metazoa; Chordata; Mammalia; Primates; Hominidae. The record is from RNAcentral.
GUGACACGAUGAACCCAACUUCGUGGGGCUGGGCCAAAAGGCCGGAGCUUGGAGAGGGGACAUUUCUGCGCUUGACUUCGGGCUAUGGACUCUGCCCGGUGGAGACCAUUGUACCCCAUACGGAUGGAGAGGUUACACCUAUUGUAUCUGUAUGGUGGUGAUAUUAUACCAUGAGGUGCAUCUCUUUCUGGUGAAGGAAAUCCCAAAAUAUUUCACCCCAAAAUAUGGCUCCCUGGUAUAGUGAGUAUUUUGAAUUCAACACCCUUAGAGAUCAAUAAACUGGAAGAAACUUUCCCCCUUCUACAAAAAGAAAGGACUGAAUCACCAAGGAGAACAGUUGUUCUUGUUCGCCCGUUAUCUCAUUACCCUUCACAGCAAAGAAGACCCAGAAUGUAACCACAUCUGAACAGACUCUUUCAAGACAGUGACUGUUGCCAAGGAUCAUAUAAAUUCCAAAGAAUUUUACAAGUUACUUUCUGUUCCCCAUCCAAUCGUUCUCCCUAGUAAUCAUUUAUAAUCCCUCAAUAGAAUUCUUCUCCCUCUCCCAUAAGCCCCCAUUCUGUCUGUAACCUCGAGGUAGUAUAUAAGUUUCUGGACUUCACUGGAGGGGGUCUAGUCUUUAUUCUGAAGGCUGUCAUGUAUACCUGUUAAGAAUGAUAGAGAAGAUGUCUUGGGUGAAUAUUAUGAUAUAUAAAUUAUAUCUCGAUUUUUAAAAAAUUGAGGCCAGGCACAGUGGCUCACAACUGUACAGUCUCGGCACUUUGGGAGGCCGGGGCGGGUGGAUCAUGAGGUCAGGAGUUCAAGACCAGCCUGGCCAAGAUGGUGAAACCCCGUCUCUACUAAAAACAGAAAAAUUAGCCCGGCGUAGUGGCGGGCGCCUGUAAUCCCAGCUAUUCAGGAGGCUGAGGCAGAGAAUUGCUUGAACCCAGGAGGCGGAGGUUGCAAUGAGCCGAGAUCGUGCCACUGUACUCCCGCCUGGGCGACGAGUGAGACUCCAUCUCAAAAAAAUAAAUAAUAAAAACUGAGAUUUUUUAAUCUCAAAGAUUGAGAUCAGUUCCGUGUUAAGUGAUGUGUUCAGUGCUGGCAGCUUGAUGUUGGCCAUGGUGAGAGUACUUAUAGCACAGAAAUUGGUAAAUGUUAUAAACUUGGGCUUGAUUUAUAUAUUUUUUCAUUGUCUAGUGUCUCUAGACUUAAAAAAAAUAGAGAAGAUGCCUUGGGUCAAUAUUAUGGUAUGUAAAUUAUAUCUCAAUUUUUAAAAAAGUGUGUUGCAUCUGUAGCCAUUAUAAUAGGAAUAGUACAAAAAAUUGAGGAAAUAUUUGUUCAGCAUUCAGAAACUACCACUUGAUUAAACAAAGUUACUCAUGUUUUCAGUGAAGUUCUGACAUACAUCUUUGACUUGUUUCCCUUUCAUCUUACAUGUUAACGUGAAAGAAAUUAUCAACCACAUUUGUGUUGAAGCUAUGCUCAUUUGUCAGUUGCAAGCCUAGGUUGGCUACAAAUACACCAGCAAAAAAAUCAAUGAGCUUUCUGCAAGAAUCAAUUGGUUGUAUGGAUUUUACAAUAAUUGUUAUUGUAUGUUUUAUUAUUUAUAAAUUGUUACUGAUGAUAAAGAGUCAAACUCUGGCCAGGUGUGGUGGCUGACACCUGCAAUCCUGACACUUUGGGAGGCCAAGGUCGAGGGAUCACUUGAGGUCAGGAGUUUGAGACCAGCCUGGGCAAUGUAGCAAGACCCCGUCUCUACAAAAAAUAAAAAAUUAGCCAGGUGUGGUGGCAUGUGCCUGUAGUCCCAGCUACUCAGGAGGCUGAGGCAGGAGGAUCACUUGAGGUUGCAGUGAGCCAUAGUCAUACUACUGUACUCCAGCCUGAGGGACAGCGUAAGACCCUGUCUCAGAAGGAAAAAAAAGCAUAUCCAGCUGCAACUUGGGUAUUUCCCAGCCACCAGGUCACACACCACACCAACGCAGAGGGUGGGGCCCUGGAACUCAGGAGGGGGCGUGAUCCAGGGUGCUCUCUUAGCCACAGGAUCCCAUGGUACUGCUGAAGGGGGCUGUGGCUUGGGAUUGGCUGUGGAGGUGAGCAGGGUCUUAGCGUUGAAAGCAGCUGAUGGAGUAACAGGACCACGGGGGAGAGUGAGGGGAAGGCCAGC